Molecule: small nucleolar RNA, 66 nt
Organism: Microcebus murinus (gray mouse lemur)
Lineage: Eukaryota; Metazoa; Chordata; Mammalia; Primates; Cheirogaleidae
Gene: SNORD58
Rfam family: Small nucleolar RNA SNORD58
About the family: snoRNA U58 is found in introns 1, 3 and 6 of the ribosomal protein RPL17 gene in humans. U58 is a member of the C/D class of snoRNA which contain C (UGAUGA) and D (CUGA) box motifs. Most of the members of the box C/D family function in directing site-specific 2'-O-methylation of substrate RNAs.
Source: Ensembl
UUGUUAGGAUGACAGUCUGAGGACACUUUUGGAUUAACCAUGAAAGACACCUUGAUGUUGGAUAAA